RNAcentral lists this non-coding RNA (84 nucleotides) under bovine gut metagenome. Its description in RNAcentral is "S10-Clostridia ribosomal protein leader". It matches the Rfam family "S10-Clostridia ribosomal protein leader". RNAcentral also lists the same sequence under 1 other name. The record is from RNAcentral.
UGAUAGCGUUGAAGCGUGAGGUUGCUGCCCCUGUGGCAGGUUAUUCCGUGGAGCGAAUGUCAAGUUAUGAAACUCUGGCGACAA